RNAcentral lists this ribosomal RNA (460 nucleotides) under uncultured bacterium. RNAcentral describes it as "partial 16S ribosomal RNA". It matches the Rfam family "Bacterial small subunit ribosomal RNA", at positions 338 to 795 of the family's 1533-position model. The record is from RNAcentral.
CCUACGGGAGGCAGCAGUGAGGAAUAUUGGUCAAUGGCCGUAAGGCUGAACCAGCCAAGUCGCGUGAAGGAAGAAGGAUCUAUGGUUUGUAAACUUCUUUUAUAGGGGAAUAAAGGUAUCCACGUGUGGAUAUUUGCAUGUACCCUAUGAAUAAGCAUCGGCUAACUCCGUGCCAGCAGCCGCGGUAAUACGUAGGAUGCGAGCGUUAUCCGGAUUUAUUGUGUUUAAAGGGUGCGUAGGUUGUUUUUUAAGUCAGCGGUGAAAGUUUGUGGCUCAACCAUAAAAUUGCCGUUGAAACUGGAAGAAGUGAGUGGGUUUGAGGGAGGGGGAAUGGGUGGUGUAGCGGUGAAAUGCAUAGAUAUCACGCAGAACUCCGAUUGCGAAGGCAGCUUACCAAGGCAUAACCGACACUGAAGCACGAAAGCGUGGGGAUUAAACAGGAUUAGAUACCCCAGUAGUC